CCUACGGGUGGCAGCAGUGGGGAAUAUUGCACAAUGGGCGCAAGCCUGAUCCAGCUAUUCCGCGUGUGGGAUGAAGGCCCUCGGGUUGUAAACCCCUGUUGUCGAGGACGAAAAGUCACCUUCGUAUAAAGCGUUUUGCUGACGGUACUCUCAGAAUCAGCACCGGCUAACUACGUGCCAGCAGCCGCGGUAAUACGGGGGGUGCGAGCGUUAAUCGGAAUUACUGGGCGUAAAGGGUGCGCAGGCGGUGGAGUAAGCCAGGGGUGAAAUCCCCGGGAUUAACUUGGGAAUGGCCUAUGUGACUGCGAGACUGGAGUGUGUCAGAGGGAGGUGGAAUUCCACGUGUAGCAGUGAAAUGCGUAGAUAUGUGGAAGAACACCGAUGGCGAAGGCAGCCUGCUGGGACAUAACUGACGCUGAGGCACGAAAGCGUGGGGAGCAAACAGGAUUAGAUACCCGUGUAGUC
RNAcentral lists this ribosomal RNA (465 nucleotides) under uncultured bacterium. RNAcentral describes it as "partial 16S ribosomal RNA". It matches the Rfam family "Bacterial small subunit ribosomal RNA", at positions 338 to 795 of the family's 1533-position model. The record is from RNAcentral.